This 549-nucleotide ribosomal RNA is filed under the name Ascomycota sp. SK-2. Its description in RNAcentral is "eukaryotic LSU rRNA". The stretch from base 176 to 329 matches the Rfam family "5.8S ribosomal RNA". The record is from RNAcentral. Lineage: Eukaryota; Fungi; Ascomycota.
CUUCCGGAAAGGGGACCUGCGGAAGGAUCAUUACCUAGAGUUGCGGGCUUUGCCUGCCAUCUCUUACCCAUGUCUUUUGAGUACCUUCGUUUCCUCGGCGGGUUCGCCCGCCGGUUGGACAACACUUAAACCCUUUGUAAUUGAAAUCAGCGUCUGAAAAAACUUUAAUAGUUACAACUUUCAACAACGGAUCUCUUGGUUCUGGCAUCGAUGAAGAACGCAGCGAAAUGCGAUAAGUAGUGUGAAUUGCAGAAUUCAGUGAAUCAUCGAAUCUUUGAACGCACAUUGCGCCCCUUGGUAUUCCAUGGGGCAUGCCUGUUCGAGCGUCAUUUGUACCUUCAAGCUCUGCUUGGUGUUGGGUGUUUGUCUCGCCUCUGCGCGCAGACUCGCCUCAAAGCAAUUGGCAGCCGGCGUAUUGAUUUCGGAGCGCAGUACAUCUCGCGCUUUGCACUCAUAACGACGACGUCCAAAAAGUACAUUUUUUACACUCUUGACCUCGGAUCAGGUAGGGAUACCCGCUGAACUUAAGCAUAUCAAUAAGCGGAGGAA